AUACCUGUAAUCAUACAAUACUACAAAAAGCAGUAUAGAGCAGCUAGGAAAAUAAAUCAUAUAUAUAAAUUAUGGUUCAAUACAUACAUGCAAUCCAGGUACAUCAAUACUCGCUCUGGCGAGAUAACAACAACUGUAUGUAAAGAUCCAAAAACUACAACUAUCUGUAACUGAUGCUCCUCUAGUUCUGCGACUUGACUGGAAGGGCUCUGGCUCGCGACGCCCUUGCCACGAUCAAGAUCAGCAACAGCAACAGCAACAGCCGAAGACGACGGCUCUACAAAACAGUGGUAACAACUGGACGUGAGAACUAUUACGAAAAGAAGUAGUCCUCAGUGGGUACCGCCCUCAAACUCAUCGAUCCACCCAUUAAGUCUACAGGGAUAAGCAGGAAUAGUAAAGAAAGCUGAAACAAAUCUACAACUAUAUGCCACUAUACUAUCAUACUCUAAAUCUAACCAUCUGUAGAACAGUGUCAACUCAAACCCAAUCUCAAAUAGGAACUAUAAUCAUACUCGUUUCUGGGACUGUGAACACACCCGUCCCGCACGGUUGCGACUAUAUAGUUACCUCCACACUAAUCAGUCCGUGGAGAGCAAGUCCAACCUGCACGAACGACACCAACAUAAAAGUAUAGCGCCCGUCUUCGGAGUGGCACUCGUGGGAGCUAUCCAACCGAGUAUGCAGCGUAUCUCUGUCGAGCUCAAUUAGGCUCUAACAAAUCAAAGUCAAGAAGGUAGGGUUAAAACAGGUCUAGAAACCAAACCCACGUGCCCUUGGCACAAUCUGAGACCAAAAAUAAAUAUCUGGGUCCCCCGUCCCCUCGACGGCACCCGACAACCUAAAACAGCAUAGGCUCCGCUGUAAAAAUAAACUCGGCAUCUCAGUACAAGCGUAAAUGCAUUCUAAACUACCCCGGAUAUCUACCGCGCUGAAACAGCAGUGAUACAAUCAAACUACGGCUCCUAAAGUUAAAAUCAGAUAGUGGAAUCAUAUGACAGGUCGAAUCGCUGGUUUUCUCCUAAGUCAAGUUCCAAGUCCAGCUUGUAUAUUCAUCUAAUUAAAUAGUCAUGCUCCCAAUUCAGAUUUCAUACAAGCUACAAUCAAUGAAUUUGAGCUACAACAUGAUAUACAAGAAUCGAAAUCAUACAUGUCGACUACA
Molecule: long non-coding RNA, 1162 nt
Filed under: Ananas comosus (pineapple)
Lineage: Eukaryota; Viridiplantae; Streptophyta; Magnoliopsida; Poales; Bromeliaceae
Description: long non-coding RNA (ACOM_LNC031882)
Source: RNAcentral